CCUUCGGUAGCUCAGCUGGAAGAGCGUCAGACUGUAAUUGGAUACCUUCAUUGACAUCUGAAUGUCGCUGGUUCGAUCCCGGCCCGAAGGA
Non-coding RNA from Cerrena zonata, 91 nucleotides. The record is from the annotation of a GenBank genome assembly. Lineage: Eukaryota; Fungi; Basidiomycota; Agaricomycetes; Polyporales; Cerrenaceae.